Molecule: long non-coding RNA, 503 nt
Organism: Priapulus caudatus
Lineage: Eukaryota; Metazoa; Priapulida; Priapulimorpha; Priapulimorphida; Priapulidae
Exons: 3
Source: RefSeq, a predicted model, not a curated record
UCCGCAAAUACAUGAAUUUACAGCGAUUUAACAGCGAUUUCGACUUUCUACAGCGAUUUUCUCUCACGGAUAACGCUAAACCCGCAGCCAACACCGUCUCCUCCGAUGCAACACAGUAGACGUUGAUGCGGGUGAAUAAAUAUUAAGUGACCAGCGCAGCACGUGUUACUAAGAAAUCUUUGACGGUGAUCGCGACGGUGACGAUGACGAUGACUAGGUGUCACGCUGCGGUUGCUAUGGUUGUGGUUAUGGCGGUGAUCGUAUGUCAUCAUGGCUUGACGAGAAGCGAGACGGUAACCCGUCUGGAUUUCGUACCGAGAAAUCAAGAACGCAGGCGAGAGAUCCGCUCACCCAGAACAGGUUACAUCCGAAGCCAUCGCGAUCAUUACCACACUGACAACGUAGGGCAUGGCAGAGCCCGAGGUAACGAUGAUGAAUCCGUGGUGAGCAGUGAACUAGUUCGAUCUGCGAAUGCUCACUCAGCCAGCGGUCAAUCUAUUAGG